Long non-coding RNA from Oreochromis aureus, 495 nucleotides. RefSeq lists it as uncharacterized. The record is from RefSeq and is a predicted model, not a curated record. The transcript is spliced from 3 exons. Lineage: Eukaryota; Metazoa; Chordata; Actinopteri; Cichliformes; Cichlidae.
AACCUCUCAGAGAGAAGCCUUGAAACCCUGUCCUCAGUUGUUAGCUCUCAGUCCUCUAGUCUGAAAGAGCUGGACCUGAGUAACAAUAACCUACAGGAUUCAGGAGUGAAGCUUCUGUGCGUUGGGAUAGGAAGUCAACACUGCAAACUAGAAACUCUAAGACUAACUGACUGUAGCCUGACAGAGAAAAGCUGUGAACAUCUGUCAUCUGUUAUGAACUCUCCGUCCUCCAGUCUGAGAGAGCUGGACUUGAGUAAUAACGACCUACAGGAUUCAGGAGCGAAACUUCUGUGUGUUGGAGUAGAAAGUCAACACUGCAAACUAGAAACUCUAAGACUAACUGGCUGUAGCCUAACAGAGACUAGCUGUGAAGAUCUGUCAACAGUUGUGAGCUCCCAGUCCUCUAGUCUGAGAGAGCUGGACAUGAGUAACAAUGACCUACAGGAUUCAGGAGUGAAGCUUUUGUGUGCUGGAAUAGCAAGUCAGCACUGUAAA